This 29-nucleotide non-coding RNA is filed under the name Mus musculus (house mouse). The record is from RNAcentral. Lineage: Eukaryota; Metazoa; Chordata; Mammalia; Rodentia; Muridae.
UGAUAGGAGACUCGGUACUCCCUGUGUGG